RNAcentral lists this ribosomal RNA (315 nucleotides) under uncultured bacterium. RNAcentral describes it as "bacterial SSU rRNA". It matches the Rfam family "Bacterial small subunit ribosomal RNA", at positions 1 to 309 of the family's 1533-position model. The record is from RNAcentral.
AAUUCGAUUGAGUUUGAUCAUGGCUCAGAUUGAACGCUGGCGGCAUGCCUAACACAUGCAAGUCGAACGGCAGCACAGCUUAAGCUUGCUUAAGUGGGUGGCGAGUGGCGGACGGGUGAGUAAUGCAUCGGGACCUACCUGAACGUGGGGGAUAACGUAGGGAAACUUACGCUAAUACCGCAUACGUCCUACGGGAGAAAGCGGGGGACCUUCGGGCCUCGCGCGGUCAGACGGACCGAUGUUCGAUUAGCUAGUUGGUAAGGUAAUGGCUUACCAAGGCGACGAUCGAUAGCUGGUCUGAGAGGAUGAUCAGCC